Long non-coding RNA from Etheostoma cragini (Arkansas darter), 93 nucleotides. RefSeq lists it as uncharacterized. The record is from RefSeq and is a predicted model, not a curated record. The transcript has 3 exons. Lineage: Eukaryota; Metazoa; Chordata; Actinopteri; Perciformes; Percidae.
GAUCAUAUUAUUUUAGUGACAACUCAUAAAUAACUACUAAUAACUCACGUUAGGGACAUCUGUUUCGGUUUUCUUACGAAUUUGUUUUUUUAA